AGGGCAGCACCACCAGCGGGGUUGUCAACCACCUACGCAAGGGCAUUUGUCAGUGGAAGUGAAGGCCCCGACAAACUGCUGGGGCAAGAAUUUGAUUACUGAAAUAUCGAACGAAGGCCAAACUUCCAUUUCUUUAAUUUCAUGGUGAAACCACAGCACCAGUGUAUCAGUGUGACAUCGCGGAUUUCAAGUAUACAAUGCAGUCCAUCGUAAACCAAUAAAAAAAUUUAAUAGGCCCAAGAAGACACAGUGCAAACCCACGACGUUAUGGCGAGCUGGCGACGGUGUGGCCACAAAGCCGAAGCCGCCCACCUUGGGCGAAGCUGUUCCAGGCUGGAGUUCUCGGCCAUCUACACCCAGCUUCCCU
Long non-coding RNA from Dermacentor andersoni, 367 nucleotides. RefSeq lists it as uncharacterized. The record is from RefSeq and is a predicted model, not a curated record. NCBI's taxonomy places the organism in Eukaryota, Metazoa, Arthropoda, Arachnida, Ixodida, Ixodidae.